Long non-coding RNA from Passer domesticus (house sparrow), 508 nucleotides. RefSeq lists it as uncharacterized. The record is from RefSeq and is a predicted model, not a curated record. NCBI's taxonomy places the organism in Eukaryota, Metazoa, Chordata, Aves, Passeriformes, Passeridae. The transcript is spliced from 3 exons.
UGCACCCCAUGGCAGGGGACUCACACUGGAGAAAUUCAUUCCCCUCCUAUGGGAAGGACCCUAGGCUGGAGUAGUGAAAGGACUCCUCUCGCUAAGCAGCAGCAUAAGCAGUCUGAAGGGAGGGGUGGGGGGAAGGUGUGGUUAGGUUUUACUUCCAUUAUAUUGUGCUGAUUUUUAUUUUGACUGUAACAAACUCAGUUAUUUUCCCCACGUCAUGUCUGUUUUGCCCAUGAUGGUAACUGAAGAAUGAUCUCUCUCUGUCCUUAGCUCAUGAGGCUUCCAUUACACGUUUUUCUCCCCCAUCCAUUUGUGGAAGAAGAAACGCUAAUUCUUAAGAGGGGCCACAAGACUUUCAUUCCAGGAUGGGAAGAGCUGUAAAUUCUCCAUGGAAAACCAAGACCACCAACACAGCCUUGAUGUUGUAAGCUCUAACAGCUUUGAAGCCAUAUGACUAGAACUUCACUGUAAGAAAAAGACACAGCAAGAGGGAAAUAAAUAUAACCCACUG